This 429-nucleotide ribosomal RNA is filed under the name uncultured Alteromonadales bacterium. RNAcentral describes it as "bacterial SSU rRNA". It matches the Rfam family "Bacterial small subunit ribosomal RNA", at positions 355 to 776 of the family's 1533-position model. RNAcentral also lists the same sequence under 1 other name. The record is from RNAcentral. Lineage: Bacteria; Pseudomonadati; Pseudomonadota; Gammaproteobacteria; Alteromonadales.
UGGGGAAUAUUGCGCAAUGGGCGAAAGCCUGACGCAGCCAUGCCGCGUGUGUGAAGAAGGCCUUCGGGUUGUAAAGCACUUUCAAUUGGGAAGAAAGGUUGCGUGUUAAUAGCACGUAGCUGUGACGUUACCUUUAGAAGAAGCACCGGCUAACUCCGUGCCAGCAGCCGCGGUAAUACGGAGGGUGCGAGCGUUAAUCGGAAUUACUGGGCGUAAAGCGCGCGUAGGCGGUUUGUUAAGUCGGAUGUGAAAUCCCCGGGCUCAACCUGGGAAUGGCAUUCGAUACUGGCCGACUAGAGUACGAGAGAGGGAGGUAGAAUUCCACGUGUAGCGGUGAAAUGCGUAGAUAUGUGGAGGAAUACCGGUGGCGAAGGCGGCCUCCUGGCUCGAUACUGACGCUGAGGUGCGAAAGCGUGGGUAGCAAACAGG